GAUGAAGAACGCAGCGAAAUGCGAUAAGUAAUGUGAAUUGCAGAAUUCAGUGAAUCAUCGAAUCUUUGAACGCACAUUGCGCCCGUCAGUAUUCUGGCGGGCAUGCCUGUUCGAGCGUCAUUACGCCCCUCAAGUCCCCUGUGGACUUGGUGUUGGGGAUCGGCGAGGCUGGUUUUCCAGCACAGCCGUCCCUUAAAUUAAUUGGCGGUCUCGCCGUGGCCCUCCUCUGCGCAGUAGUAAAACACUCGCAACAGGAGCCCGGCGCGGUCCACUGCCGUAAAACCCCCCAACUUUUUAUAGUUGACCUCGAAUCAGGUAGGACUACCCGCUGAUCUUAAGCAUAUCAAUAAGCGGAGGA
RNAcentral lists this unclassified non-coding RNA (358 nucleotides) under soil metagenome. RNAcentral describes it as "partial contains 5.8S ribosomal RNA, internal transcribed spacer 2, and large subunit ribosomal RNA". The stretch from base 1 to 120 matches the Rfam family "5.8S ribosomal RNA", at positions 35 to 154 of the family's 154-position model. The record is from RNAcentral.